RNAcentral lists this ribosomal RNA (164 nucleotides) under Quercus ilex. RNAcentral describes it as "5.8S ribosomal RNA". It matches the Rfam family "5.8S ribosomal RNA". Rfam says of the family: 5.8S ribosomal RNA (5.8S rRNA) is a component of the large subunit of the eukaryotic ribosome. It is transcribed by RNA polymerase I as part of the 45S precursor that also contains 18S and 28S rRNA. Functionally, it is thought that 5.8S rRNA may be involved in ribosome translocation. Lineage: Eukaryota; Viridiplantae; Streptophyta; Magnoliopsida; Fagales; Fagaceae. The record is from RNAcentral.
AAAACGACUCUCGUCAACGGAUAUCUAGGCUCUCGCAUCGAUGAAGAACGUAGCGAAAUGCGAUACUUGGUGUGAAUUGCAGAAUCCCGCGAAUCAUCGAGUUUUUGAACGCAAGUUGCGCCCGAAGCCAUUCGGCCGAGGGCACGUCUGCCUGGGUGUCACGC